GAUUGCACCAACAACCACCUCUCUGCAAUCGCGGCUG
Molecule: regulatory RNA element, 37 nt
Organism: Prevotella sp. CAG:279
Lineage: Bacteria; Pseudomonadati; Bacteroidota; Bacteroidia; Bacteroidales; Prevotellaceae
Rfam family: S4-Bacteroidia ribosomal protein leader
Source: Rfam